RNAcentral lists this ribosomal RNA (292 nucleotides) under uncultured bacterium. RNAcentral's name for it is "partial 16S ribosomal RNA". It matches the Rfam family "Bacterial small subunit ribosomal RNA", at positions 505 to 796 of the family's 1533-position model. The record is from RNAcentral.
GUGUCAGCCGCCGCGGUAAGACGAACCGUGCGAACGUUGUUCGGAAUCACUGGGCUUAAAGGGCGCGUAGGCGGGUUCGCAAGUCUGUGGUGAAAGCCUCCAGCUUAACUGGAGAAGUGCCGUGGAUACUGCGAAUCUUGAGGAGGGUAGGGGCGUCUGGAACGGUCGGUGGAGCGGUGAAAUGCGUUGAUAUCGACCGGAACUCCGGUGGCGAAGGCGAGGCGCUGGACCCUUUCUGACGCUGAGGCGCGAAAGCCAGGGGAGCAAACGGGAUUAGAUACCCCCGUAGUCC